CCCUCCCUCUCUCAGGGGAUGAAGAGGGAAAGGGGGAGAUUAGGGGAGGCUCUGCUCAGCUGUGGGGCUCAGAAGUCAGGACCAUUGAUGACCUGCACCAUGUCCUGGUCCCCUCUCCUCCUAACCCUCCUCGCUCACUGCACAGGGUCCUGGGCCCAGUCUGUGCUGACUCAGCCGACCUCCGUGUCUGGGGCCCUGGGCCAGAAGGUCACCAUCUCCUGCACUGGAAGCAGCUCCAAUAUCGGGGGUGGUAAUUAUGUGAGCUGGCACCAACAGCUCCCAGGAACCGCCCCCAGAAUGGUCAUCUAUGGUAAUAACAACCGACCAUCGGGGAUCCCGGAUCGAUUCUCUGGCUCCAAGUCUCACAGCUCAGCCACCCUGACCAUCACUGGGCUCCAGGCUGAGGACGAGGCCUAUUAUUACUGCACAUCAUGGGACAGCAGUAUCAAUGCUCACACAGUGCUCCAGGCCUAUGGGGAAGUGAGACAAAAACCCACGUGCUCAUCUCUAGAGGGGGACACACGCCAGCAGUUCCUGUUCAGCUUAACCUGUGAUGCUCCGAGUGGAGACAGCCCUGGUGCAGUGGAGACGUUGGACACAGACCUCAGUGAAGAGCCACAGCAUGGGGUUCUGAGUGAGUGUGGCAAGGAGUCGGAGGCCUAA
This is a non-coding RNA of Ailuropoda melanoleuca (giant panda), 663 nucleotides long. NCBI's taxonomy places the organism in Eukaryota, Metazoa, Chordata, Mammalia, Carnivora, Ursidae. The record is from the annotation of a RefSeq genome assembly.